Molecule: ribosomal RNA, 468 nt
Filed under: uncultured bacterium
Lineage: Bacteria
Description: partial 16S ribosomal RNA
Rfam family: Bacterial small subunit ribosomal RNA
Source: RNAcentral
GACGACCGCUGGCGGCGUGCUUAACACAUGCAAGUCGAACGGAAAGGCCCUGCUUUUGUGGGGUGCUCGAUUGGCGAACGGGUGUGUAACACGUGAGUAACCUGCCCUUGACUUUGGGAUAACUCCAGGAAACUGGGGCUAAUACCGGAUAGGAGCUCCUGCUGCAUGGUGGGGGUUGGAAAGUUUCGGCGGUGGGGGAUGGACUCGCGGGUUAUCGGCUUGUUGGUGGGGUAGUGGCUUACCAAGGCUUUGACGGGUAGGCUGCCUGGGAGGGUGACCGGCGACAUUGGGCCUGAGGUACGGCGCAGACUCGUACGGGAGGCAGCAGUGGAGAGUAUUGCGCAGUGGGCGGACGCCUGAUGCGGAGGCGCUGCGUGCGGGAUGCCGGCUUUCGGGUUGUAAACCGCUUUCGCAUGUGCUGAAGCGUGCGUGACGGUAAUGGGUAAAGAAGCACCGGCUAACUACGUG